This 253-nucleotide ribosomal RNA is filed under the name uncultured bacterium. RNAcentral describes it as "partial 16S ribosomal RNA". It matches the Rfam family "Bacterial small subunit ribosomal RNA", at positions 524 to 776 of the family's 1533-position model. The record is from RNAcentral.
UACGGAGGGGGCUAGCGUUGUUCGGAAUUACUGGGCGUAAAGCGCACGUAGGCGGCUUUGCAAGUUAGAGGUGAAAGCCCGGGGCUCAACCCCGGAAUUGCCUUUAAAACUGCAUCGCUUGAAUUGUGGAGAGGUAAGUGGAAUUCCGAGUGUAGAGGUGAAAUUCGUAGAUAUUCGGAGGAACACCAGUGGCGAAGGCGGCUCACUGGUCCGGUACUGACGCUGAGGUGCGAAAGCGUGGGGAGCAAACAGG